AAUGAACGUUGGCGGCGUGGAUUAGGCAUGCAAGUCGUGCGAGAACCUGGGGAUUGAAGCUUCGGUUGAUUGAACUAGGGGACAGCGGCGCAAGGGAGAGUAACGCGUGGAUACCUACCUUCAGGUUUCGGGAUAGCUGCGGGAAACUGCAGGUAAUACCGAAUAAUAUCUCCGGAUCAAAGGUGUGAUUCCGCCUGGAGACGGGUCCGCGUCCUAUUAGCUUGUUGGUGGGGUAACGGCCUACCAAGGCUUCGAUGGGUACCGGGCGUGAGAGCGUGGUCCGGCUCACUGGGACUGAGACACUGCCCAGACACCUACGGUGGCUGCAGUCGAGAAUCUUCGGCAAUGGACGAAAGUCUGACCGAGCGACGCCGCGUGCGGGAUGAAGGCCUUCGGGUUGUAAACCGCUGUCAGUUGGGAGGAAUCUCAUAGGGCUAUCCCUAUGAGUUGACCUAUCUUCAGAGGAAGGACGGGCUAAGUUCGUGCCAGCAGCCGCGGUAA
RNAcentral lists this ribosomal RNA (501 nucleotides) under uncultured bacterium. Its description in RNAcentral is "bacterial SSU rRNA". It matches the Rfam family "Bacterial small subunit ribosomal RNA", at positions 29 to 523 of the family's 1533-position model. The record is from RNAcentral.